RNAcentral lists this non-coding RNA (117 nucleotides) under Nomascus leucogenys (northern white-cheeked gibbon). Lineage: Eukaryota; Metazoa; Chordata; Mammalia; Primates; Hylobatidae. The record is from Rfam by way of RNAcentral.
GCCGGGCGUGGUGGCUCACGCCUGUAAUCCCAGCACUUUGGGAGGCCGAGAUGAGUGCAUCACCUGAGGUCAGGAGUUCUAGACCAGCCUGGCCAACAUGGUGAAACCCCGUCUCUA